Non-coding RNA from Punica granatum (pomegranate), 955 nucleotides. The record is from RefSeq and is a predicted model, not a curated record. NCBI's taxonomy places the organism in Eukaryota, Viridiplantae, Streptophyta, Magnoliopsida, Myrtales, Lythraceae.
UAUCAACUGGUUUUACCUAUUUGUAAAUGUAAAUUUGAGUAUCCGGGAUUUGAUUUCAAAUUCUAUCUAUAUCUCAAUUUGAAACUAGGGUUAAUAACAAUGAUGGUGGAGCGCUACAAGAUCAGUAAACCGAAGGACCUGCAGGCAUCAGCUGGCACUGAUAAUACUGAUAAACCCGAUCUUCAGGUUCGCCCUUCAACUUAUACGCAUGGAUGCCGAAAGAUCAUUACUUAUUGACCCACGUACUAUUUAUUCCUCAAGCACAUCUUUUCUUUGUCGUUGGGACAACUUCAUAUGGAGUAAACCAAUUAAGAAGUUUCUUUUUCAUUACCUAAAUGGGCCUUUGUAACUGUUAUAUAUGCGGCUUGAUGGUGCAGCAGCUGAAGGAGACUGCUUCGAUGCUGACAAAGAAGCUCGAGUUUCUUGAAGCUUCAAAAAGGAGACUGCUGUGGGAGGGUCUCGAUUAAUGCGCGAACAAGAAGUUGGAACUGACAGAGAAGCAGCUCGAGAGAAGCUUAAGAAAAAUCAGAAAAAGGAAGUUUCAACUGUGAAAGCAGCAGACUGAGCAGCUCAAGGAAGGGGGAAUGAAGCUAUUAAAGGAAAACAAGAGAUUACGCCGGGAGGGAACGCAAUCUCAUUGUUGUUCUGAAGGAGCAGUGGAUCAGAAUUCCAACGUGGAGACGCAAUCUUCCCGAAAGUCAAAAGUCGAUUGCUUGGAGGGAACCUGAAGAAUAGAUCACUGAUUCAAUAUGAAUUCUUCUAUGUGCUCUUUUUAAGUGCCGUGACCGGUGUCGACUGAGCACGCUGUCUUGAUUCUUGACAGUUUCAUUUUGAAGUAUAAAACAUGAGACUAAUUAUUAGAUCUUUGAACGAAUUUUGGUGCAUGUUUACUAAUGAAGUAUGGCUGGACCUGAAUAAACUCUAACUAAGAAGAGGUUGAUUGGGAAUGCCAACU